AUUGAACGCUGGCGGCAGGCCUAACACAUGCAAGUCGAGCGGAUGAAGGGAGCUUGCUCCUGGAUUCAGCGGCAGACGGGUGAGUAAUGCCUAGGAAUCUGCCUGGUAGUGGGGGAUAACGUCCGGAAACGGGCGCUAAUACCGCAUACGUCCUGAGGGAGAAAGUGGGGGAUCUUCGGACCUCACGCUAUCAGAUGAGCCUAGGUCGGAUUAGCUAGUUGGUGGGGUAAAGGCCUACCAAGGCGACGAUCCGUAACUGGUCUGAGAGGAUGAUCAGUCACACUGGAACUGAGACACGGUCCAGACUCCUACGGGAGGCAGCAGUGGGGAAUAUUGGACAAUGGGCGAAAGCCUGAUCCAGCCAUGCCGCGUGUGUGAAGAAGGUCUUCGGAUUGUAAAGCACUUUAGGUUGGGAGGAAGGGCAGUAAGUUAAUACCUUGCUGUUUUGACGUUACCAACAGAAUAAGCACCGGCUAACUUCGUG
This 484-nucleotide ribosomal RNA is filed under the name uncultured bacterium. RNAcentral's name for it is "partial 16S ribosomal RNA". It matches the Rfam family "Bacterial small subunit ribosomal RNA", at positions 30 to 507 of the family's 1533-position model. The record is from RNAcentral.